AGAGAGAGGGGAAACAGAAUUAUUAAUUUUAUUAAAAAAAAAAAAUUGAAUAUGAGACUAAGUCAAUCCUCAUUAUCCCUGCUGCUGCUGCUUCUUCUUCAUCCUCCUCCUCCUCCAAACCCUAAACGCAACGAGUUAUUGCAGAACUGGAGAGCUUUAAAUCUUCUAAUUAUCUUGUAGAUCUGUCUUUUUAUUACCCUUUGCUUUGAAACCAAUCACUGUACACACACUUCAUUUUGGCUUUUUAUGGCGGUGGGUUUUGACUUUUGAAGAGAGAGUUUUGUCACUCUAAGGAAACACCACUCCAUUUCUUCCGUAAAUUUAUAUAUCCUAUUUAACUAUUGUUGCAUACAUGGAGGGGAAUUCCGGUGGUGGAGGAGCUGGAGGAGCUGCUGUUGCUGCUGGCGGCGGUGCUGGUUCUGUUGGUGUUGGUGGUGCUGGAGGUGGAGGAGGGAAUGAUGUCGAGCUGAUGUGCAAGACGUUACAGGUGGAGCACAAGCUGUUCUAUUUCGAUCUGAAGGAGAACCCUCGUGGACGUUAUUUGAAGAUUUCUGAGAAGACUUCUGCCACCAGGUCUACCAUCAUCGUCCCUUCCUCUGGGAUUUCUUGGUUCUUGGAUCUCUUCAAUUACUAUGUCAAUUCUGAUGAUCAGGACCUCUUUAGCAAAGAAUUGCAGCUCGACACCAAGGCAUUUUCCAUUUUCAUUCUCUUCUCUAUUCUUUUCUUUUCAUUUCUUUCUUUUUAAUUGCCGCAUUAUGAAUGUCAAUUACAGGUGUUCUACUUUGAUAUUGGUGAAAACAGGAGAGGCCGCUUCUUGAAGGUAACCGGACCAAAGACCUUCUCUUUCAAUAUCUUAUACUUCUGCAUAAACACUUGCAAGCCUACUUCAUACUCUUUAACAUUUUACUUGCUAUAACUUUUAAGUCUAUUGCUUUUGAGUCAUGCUCAUAACCUGUCCAGCCCAAUUAUUAUUAUUAUUAUUACAAAAAAAAAAUGCACAUUGUAUUGCUUGCUCCAAUUUUAUAUGGUUUUUUAUCCCUAUUUACUAUUUAGGUAUGCAGUAAAUAUUGGGUGCUUAGUGAAUUAUCUAGUAAUAUGCAGGAUGUAACAUGUUGCAAAAUGAAUUUUUCUAAUGUGAAAUUCUAAUUUCGAAUAAUAAAUUGUGAUUCUUCUAAGGCUGCUGUUCUGUGCUUUAGUGUUAAUCAUUUAGUGGAUAUUUGGCAAAAUCAGGAAGCUUGGUGCCUUGUACUCCUGUCUAUACUUUUAUUCUCUUUCCUAAUUUUUUUUUCUUUUCCAUUUAAAAUAGCAAAAAGGAAAAAAAAAGGGUGAUGGUUAAUGCUAAUAUAUGCCUGUUAGGGGUUUGAAUUAUUAAAUGAAGUUGGUGAAUUGAUUAAUUUGCCCUAUCUAUUGAUUCAAAAUCUGUGAAGUCUAGCUACGUUGAUUUCAUUAUCUGCUCAAAUUAACAGAUGUAGUGAUGACCUCCAGAUGCUUACCCUUCAUCUGUCUGACUCUCUUCAUUGGGCAGCUACCAAUAAAUAAUUCAAAGGUCAUGAACUACCACAUCGUAGCAAAGGAAAAAAAAUCAUUAACAAAAUGACUAUAAUUAAGGUAAUGCUAGGAACAAACAGUUUGCCCUUUAUGCUGUUGGAGUUGCAUUAAGUCACUUAAGCUCCUGCAAGGCAGCAAUCGCUCUUUGGUGGUUUUUGGUUGUUUUUGUACUCAAUCAAAGGAUAUACCCCAAAGAUAAGAUUUUUUUAGUAUUUUCCAGAGAUGAGAAUUUUUAGUAGUUGAAAUCAUAUAGGUAAGAGGAUGAAAUUUAGGUAUAAUAUCUAAAUUCUGAUGUCUUAGGAGCUAGGUCUUAAAAUAUGUGUUUUAAAUCUAAAAUUUGCCCUUUUCUCAGUUAAGUAACUGAAAGUGUAUUUCUGAUCUACACUUUUAGAUCCUUGUUUUUUGAGAGAAACUUCAAUCUGCGGAACUUUGUUUAUCAAGUUGCUUGGUUUUAUGUUUCCUCAAUUACUUUUGUAAAUCAUUGGUUGGAGCUCGAUGGUGUAUCCCCUCAUCAACAGUAUUGUAUGCAAGAUGUAGUAAAAGUGGUUAGGUGAAAAAAAUUUAAAAGAAUUGGAAACAGAACUUGAAGAGAAAAUGUCUGUUUUCUAUAUCGCAUUAAUGUAAACACUUUAGAGUUUUUGUGAGGAACUGAACCAAAGAACCAGCCAAAGAUUAAGUUCUUCCCCCCUCCCUCUCUCCUCUCUUCUUAGGCAUUCGGCAUUGCUUGUAUCAUUUAGCAGUCUCAGGACAUUGAGAUUUCGUUAAUAUGUUGACAGCUGCAUAUUGGUAAAGAAUGGAGAACAAAUUUUUGGAGGGGAGCUAAACCACUAAACAACUAUCAUAUAAGAAAAAUUCUUAUAUUGUAUCUGAUUUUUUAGUUUCUUUCUAAAUAGAUUGCACCUCCUUAGUGCCCUGUAUUAAAUUACUAUGCCUAUCAGGAUUUGCCCAAUUGAUCUGUUUUGGUCCUAUAUUUUCCCUUUCCUUUGGCUGACAUAUUACUAGAAUGUUCUAUUGAGAUGCUAUAGUGUUCAUUGUACAUGAUCUAGUCAUUUUAGCUAAUUUCAUCUCCUAUGUCCUCUAAGCAUUUGAUUUUAGCUUCUUAGAAUAUAAAUUUAUUCAUUCAGUUCUUUUAACUCAUCUUGCCUUUGGCAGUUUGGCUCUAGAGUUAGGGACCACGUUACUAGAUUUGGUUAAGUUCAUAAUUAACAUUAUUGAGAGGUGGUAGAAAAUGUGGAUAUGGUCUGUGCUAUUAGUCAAGUUGAAGCAUUUGCAUUUGGCAUGCUUCAAUUUUUUUUGUACAGAACAUCUUUACACCCUCCUCCAGUUGAAGAAUUAAUUGGUAAAGUUAGAAAUGUCAGUAAAUCUGCUUUUUUCUAAAUCAUCCAUUUUGUUAAUCUCCUAAUGAAGUCCAUCACUCACCAUACUGCACUGUGCUGUGAAGCAACUGAUGAAUAAGUGGAACUUGAAUGAUGUUAUUUAAGAGCACCAGCUCCCUAGUUUCUAUGAAAAUUUGAGUAUGAGUAAACGAAUGGUGGACGUUGAUGGCUUGGAAUAUCCAAAAGUAACCAGGUUGUUUAUCAUGAUCUGAACAUCUAUGGGUUUGGGAAGUAAUUUUGAGGAUGCUGCCUAUGGAAGUAAAUGGAUAAAGCUCUAAAUUGUUUCCACAGAAGGGUUUUAAAUAUCGUUUAUUAUAUAUUGAAUCUGACAAUUGUUUUAAUAUUAUUAGGCUUUUCCUUUCUUUUAACUCUAGUGUCUAUUGUGCUUUCUUUUAUGCAAUUAUUUGUUUGAAUGCUAUCAGCCCAUUUAUGUUGCAUAUAUAAUUUAAUGUUUGUUUUUUAGUUGAUUUGAGCCAUUUUCGAAUUGUUUGAAAAAACUUACAGUAGGGGUGGCCAAUAUUGCUUACAAUAUUUCCAAUUCUGUGACUGUGAAAUCCUCAGUGCUACGAAAAAAACUAGUAUUCUUUUUGCUUUUGCUCCAAAAAAAGAAAAUAAUCUGCUGUCUAUCAGCCAAAAUAUGUAAAUAAGCAGACUUUAAGGUUUUGAUCAUGUAGUGUUGAGCAAAGGUGAUGUUUAAUUUUUCUGGAUUAUAUGCAAUCCUUUAAUUGCCUUUGCAGGAACCAGGCACCAUUUCUUUCAGAAAAGUAUAAUAUCUUGCCUAGUAAGGUCAGGGGCACUUGCAUAACGAGCGCUGACUUAGAUGCUUUGUCCUUGAGAACAGUUAAUAGAGUUAUGCAGAUCCAAUGGAAAUUAGUGUAACUGUCACUUGACUGGUGUGAGUUUUCAUCAUCAAUAAUCAAUCUAUGGGGCAUUAUUUUUGUCUUGCUAUUAAAUGGUCCCAAUCUUUAUGUGGGGUGGGAACGCGACUGAGCUUGGCAGGAUAGGAAUUAUCCUCUCCAAUCUUCUCAGAAUACUGGAUUUCAUAGAUUUUGAUUUAAUUAUUGGUAUGAUUUUGUCAUAAGUGCAUUGGGUUCUGUGAUGCAAUCUGAUCUCAUUAAUAAUUUCUAGCUAUAUGUAUGGUUAUUAUCAUACUUUAAAGUUUUGGAUAUUUAGAGGACUAGGGGUGACCUAUGUAUCUUCAAAGUCAAAUAUUGUUACAGAACAAAAUGGGAAAGAACUAUCUGGAUCCUUAUCACUCUCAAUGUCUUCUGAUACCUUCUUGGAAGAUCAAGCAGGUCUUUUAAUAUUUUAUCUUCAAUAGCUAUCUCCUUUGUGAUCACAUGAAUUUUCCAUUUCUGUGUAGUACAUGUGGAUAUUAAGCAUCCUGUUGCUUGGAGCACCAAUUCCUCCCUUCCUAAGGGUAGGCAGGGUGCAAAGUGAGUGAAAAGUGCAACAAUACUUGAAGCGCCUUUUUCAUCUCUUUUAUUUUCUCACUUUGGGCCUGUUAGAUUUGAUACAUCCUCUGCAUUAACUGCUCUAAUGAACAUAUACAUACAGGUAUCUGAAGCUUCUGUUAGUAGAAAUCGGAGUACCAUAAUUGUUCCUGCUGGAAGUGCCCGGAAUGAAGGUUGGGCAGCAUUCAGAAAUAUUUUAGCAGAGAUCAAUGAAGCUUCAAGGCUAUUUAUAAUGCCCAAUCAGCAAAAUUCUGAAUCUUCAGAGCGCCUUGUUGGCCUUUCGGAUGAUGUAGGGGCUGGCUUCAUAUCUGGCCACAAUAGCCAACCUGCUUCAGCAUCUGAAUUGAAUGUAGAUAGGUCAGUUGAACUAACAGCACAGGAAGAAAUUGGAAAUAUGGGGGUUUCAAAGGUGAUCAGAGCUGACCAGAAGAAAUUCUUCUUUGAUCUUGGUAGCAACAACAGAGGUCAUUUCUUGAGAAUUUCUGAGGUUGCUGGUUCUGACAGGUCCUCCAUAAUUCUCCCACUGUCUGGGCUGAAGCAGUUUCAUGAAAUAGUGGGGCAUUUUGUGGAGAUAACAAAAGAUAGAAUUGAAGGAAUGACAGGUGCAAAUGUUCGGACUGUGGAUCCCCCACAGAGAUGAAUGUGAAUAACUCCUGGAGGCUAAUGUAUGUUGAUGAAACGUGUUAUUCAUAUUUGGUAAAAGGGGUUGCUGUGGUGCUGCAAAUAUGUGUUUGAUUAGGGGUGGGGUGCAAUUGUGCGUAGCUUGUUUCUUGUUAAAUUCUUGCCUUGUCUGACUCUUAAGUCUAGAAAUAAUCCGAUUGAUCUGUUUGCUGAACAGAAAAGUUUCGGAGAUAGUAGCCAUGAGUAGCUUUGAAUAGGGAAUAACAGAAGAAACAAAUCAGAUAUUUGUAACUGUGAGUGUGGCACCCUUGUUAUUACAUUUCAAUAAUGCCGGUUCCAUAUGUUCUUGUAUUUCAGGUCUUCUAGCUGUAAUAAUUGCGAAAAUGGCCGUUUGCUUGCAAAUAAGCAAUUUAACCCGGUAAUGA
RNAcentral lists this unclassified non-coding RNA (5424 nucleotides) under Hevea brasiliensis (rubber tree). The record is from RNAcentral. Lineage: Eukaryota; Viridiplantae; Streptophyta; Magnoliopsida; Malpighiales; Euphorbiaceae.